CCUCCUAAAAGGGACAGUUCAAACUUCAACUGAAGAGUUUGAUCCUGGCUCAGAUUGAACGCUGGCGGUAUGCUUAACACAUGCAAGUCGAACGGAAACGAUGGGAGCUUGCUCCCAGGCGUCGAGUGGCGGACGGGUGCGUAACGCGUAGGAAUCUACCCAGUAGUUGGGGACAACUCGGAGAAAUCCGAGCUAAUACCGAAUACGGUCUACGGACUAAAGGGGGCCUCUUCUUGAAAGCUCUCGCUAUUGGAUGAGCCUGCGUCAGAUUAGCUUGUUGGUGGGGUAAUGGCCUACCAAGGCGACGAUCUGUAGCUGGUCUGAGAGGAUGAUCAGCCACACUGGGACUGAGACACGGCCCAGACUCCUACGGGAGGCAGCAGUGGGGAAUAUUGGACAAUGGGCGCAAGCCUGAUCCAGCAAUGCCGCGUGUGUGAA
This 438-nucleotide ribosomal RNA is filed under the name Gammaproteobacteria bacterium. Its description in RNAcentral is "bacterial SSU rRNA". It matches the Rfam family "Bacterial small subunit ribosomal RNA", at positions 1 to 409 of the family's 1533-position model. Lineage: Bacteria; Pseudomonadati; Pseudomonadota; Gammaproteobacteria. The record is from RNAcentral.